UCCAGACUCCUACGGGAGGCAGCAGUGGGGAAUAUUGCACAAUGGGCGCAAGCCUGAUGCAGCCAUGCCGCGUGUGUGAAGAAGGCCUUCGGGUUGUAAAGCACUUUCAGUAGGGAGGAAGGUGGUAGUGUUAAUAGCGCUAUCAUUUGACGUUACCUACAGAAGAAGCACCGGCUAACUCCGUGCCAGCAGCCGCGGUAAUACGGAGGGUGCGAGCGUUAAUCGGAAUUACUGGGCGUAAAGCGCAUGCAGGUGGUUUGUUAAGUCAGAUGUGAAAGCCCCGGGCUCAACCUGGGAAUUGCAUUUGAAACUGGCAAACUAGAGUACUGUAGAGGGGGGUAGAAUUUCAGGUGUAGCGGUGAAAUGCGUAGAGAUCUGAAGGAAUACCGGUGGCGAAGGCGGCCCCCUGGACAGAUACUGACACUCAGAUGCGAAAGCGUGGGGAGCAAACAGGAUUAGAUACCCUGGUAGUCCACGCCGUAAACGAUGUCUACUUGGAGGUUGUGGCCUUGAGCCGUGGCUUUCGGAGCUAACGCGUUAAGUAGACCGCCUGGGGAGUACGGUCGCAAGAUUAAAACUCAAAUGAAUUGACGGGGGCCCGCACAAGCGGUGGAGCAUGUGGUUUAAUUCGAUGCAACGCGAAGAACCUUACCUACUCUUGACAUCCAGAGAAGCCAGCGGAGACGCAGGUGUGCCUUCGGGAGCUCUGAGACAGGUGC
Molecule: ribosomal RNA, 719 nt
Filed under: Vibrio navarrensis
Lineage: Bacteria; Pseudomonadati; Pseudomonadota; Gammaproteobacteria; Vibrionales; Vibrionaceae
Description: bacterial SSU rRNA
Rfam family: Bacterial small subunit ribosomal RNA
Source: RNAcentral